RNAcentral lists this ribosomal RNA (846 nucleotides) under uncultured bacterium. RNAcentral describes it as "SSU rRNA". It matches the Rfam family "Bacterial small subunit ribosomal RNA", at positions 524 to 1381 of the family's 1533-position model. The record is from RNAcentral.
AACGUAGGAGGCGAGCGUUAUCCGGAUUUACUGGGCGUAAAGCGCGUGUAGGCGGAACGGAAAGUUGGAUGUGAAAGCUCCUGGCUUAACUGGGAGAGGUCGUUCAAAACUUCCGGACUAGAGGAUGGUAGAGGAAAAUGGAAUUCCGGGUGUAGUGGUGAAAUGCGUAAAUAUCCGGAGGAACACCAGAGGCGAAAGCGAUUUUCUGGACCAAAACUGACGCUCAGACGCGAAAGCUAGGGUAGCAAACGGGAUUAGAGACCCCGGUAGUCCUACCCGUAAACGAUGUAGACUUGGCGUUGGGUGGGUAAAACCGCUCAGUGCCGAAGCAAACGCGAUAAGUCUACCGCCUGGGGACUACGGCCGCAAGGUUAAAACUCAAAGGAAUUGACGGGGCCCCGCACAAGCAGCGGAGCGUGUGGUUUAAUUCGAUGCUACACGAAGAACCUUACCAGGGUUUGACAUAUAAGUGGUAGGGAAGGGAAACCGGACCGACCCUUCGGGGAGCUUAUACAGGUGCUGCAUGGCUGUCGUCAGCUCGUGUCGUGAGAUGUUCGGUUAAGUCCGCUAACGAGCGCAACCCUCGCUGUGUGUUACAAGUGUCACACGGAGCUGCCGGUCCUAAACCGGAGGAAGGUGGGGAAGGCGUCAAGUCAGCGUGGCCCUUAUAUCCUGGGCUACACACACGCUACAGUGGGUAGGUACAAUAGGUAGCGAAACCGCGAGGUGGAGCCAAUCCCAAAAACUACCCUCAGUUCAGAUUGUAGGUUGCAACUCGCCUGCAUGAAGUCGGAGUUGCUAGUAACCGCAGGUCAGCUAUACUGCGGUGAAUACGUUCCCGGGGCU